AGGGAAUGAAAAAUAAUGGCACGAAUGGUGUGCAAUUGUGCUGCUUUCGGAAAAGUUUCUGUGACUGCUAGUAAAAAUGAAGCUUACAAUCCUUUGAGCAAAUCCGCAUUCUUGCAGUCCAUAUCAAUAACCAAUGCUCAUCCUUCACACCUUCUCGUAUACUAGCUUGCCGCUUUGCUACUUCAACAUUGUCAUCUACUGAUUGUAACGAGCGCAAUGCCACAAACAAAAAGAUGACGCCAGUCGGAUGCAAUCGAAUGUGACGCCCUACGUCCAAAGGAAGUCGUACAGAUCGUCAUGAGAUUCACUUCAUUGGUGGUGGAGAUGCAUUUGCAAUAGCAACAGAUAGCACACAAGCACAGUGAUGCGUUAUGAAGUCGAACAAGUUCUGAGUGGAUGACCCAUUUCGUUACAAUCGUUGUGCGCCAUUAAUCGAUGCGCGAUUGAUUUUUAUGUUGAAGGUGUUGCACGUUCGAUCGAUUUGUUUACAGCUUCUUCAAACUUAUGUGGUGGAGCACAUAACAUUACAACAUUUCUAGAUCAUAAAAAAUAUUAUGUCUUCAGUUAUGCCUAGUGAAAUAUUCAAUUGCCAGACAAAUUUUUUCACAUUUCCUUCGUUGGCUCAAUUUUUUUAAAAAUUGGAUGAAACCUCAGAUUUUCAAUGAAUAUUAACGGUCGCUCGCUCUAAAAUUCAAA
Anopheles stephensi (Asian malaria mosquito) is the source of this 696-nucleotide long non-coding RNA. RefSeq lists it as uncharacterized. NCBI's taxonomy places the organism in Eukaryota, Metazoa, Arthropoda, Insecta, Diptera, Culicidae. The record is from RefSeq and is a predicted model, not a curated record. The transcript has 3 exons.